RNAcentral lists this small RNA (1086 nucleotides) under Arabidopsis thaliana (thale cress). Its description in RNAcentral is "ATSL174910". The record is from RNAcentral. Lineage: Eukaryota; Viridiplantae; Streptophyta; Magnoliopsida; Brassicales; Brassicaceae.
UUUUUUAUUAAUUAUUAUAGUUCAUCUCUCAUCUUUAUAUGAUUCUAUUUUUGCGAAAAAAUAAUAUCAUCGUUAUAAAAAAAUAAUUAGAGUUUUUUCGCAUAUGCCAUAAUUUGAAUUUUUUAAAACGAAUAUAAACUGUUCAAUACAUGAAAAAAUAUUAUAACGGGUCAAAAAUAGAUUUAAGAAAAUUUUCUACUGAGUACUGGGUCAUAAUUUGAAUAUUUAUAUUCAAUUUCAUAUAUAUUAUUUUAAAAAUUUAUAAUCUUAUAUACUACAAUAAUUAAUAACAUAUUAGAUUUUUUUAUGUGUAUGAUGUGAUUCAAUUUUCAAUACAAGCUGGAAAAUCCUAGAAUUGACGGGUUUAAAUCGAUAUUAAUACAAGAUGGUAUACUAGAGGUGAAACUCUAAAAUUAACAAUCAAAAUACAAGUGUAUAAUUUUAAACACUAAACAAUAUAAAUAAUAUCAACAAAACAUAUACAACUCGCAGUUUACUAUACAUUUAAAAUCAAAUAAAAUAAUAUCAUAUAUUUAUAAUCAUCUUUACAAUAAAAGUUUUUAGUUUAACUAAAAUAUAAGUCUACAUGCGGUAUACUGCAAGUUAAAAUUAUAAAUAAGCAGAUUACCAUCACUAUGUCUGUACCUUCUCACAUACACACCUAUCAAAAACUUAAAACCUUUCAAAACCUCUUGGUAUAUUCAAAUUAGGAUUCUUCAUUCAUGGAAUCAAGGGUUUUGGGAUGUCUUAUGAAAUGAUUUUGGCAGAAGAGGAUGUGAAAUUUUUUGAAGAAAAAGUAGUCAGCAAAACAUAUGUUUUUUUGGGAGCUUUUAGAUAAUUAAAUCAGAGAAUAGGGUUGGGCAUAUGAGUAACCCAUUCGAGUUCGGGUAGAACUCGUUCGGGUUUGGGAUUAAUGGGUAUAUGAUUUACUACCCAAUAGAAUAAUUCUAAAUAUUCGGUUCUGGUUAGGGUCGGAUCCAGUUGGGUUUGGGUCAGUUUGGAUAAAAAGUUUCAGACCCUAAAAAUACCCAAAAAAAAAUAGAAACAGGAAAUUUGUAUGUAGAUAGCGGGUCUCCAAACAAAAAA